GUAGGUGGCAAGCGUUAUCCGGAUUUAUUGGGCGUAAAGGGAGCGUAGACGGUGCGCCAAGUCUGGAGUGAAAUGCCGCAGCUUAACUGCGGAACUGCUUUGGAAACUGGCGAACUAGAGUGCGGGAGGGGUAAGCGGAAUUCCUAGUGUAGCGGUGAAAUGCGUAGAUAUUAGGAGGAACACCGGUGGCGAAGGCGGCUUACUGGACCGUAACUGACGUUGAGGCUCGAAAGCGUGGGGAGCAA
Molecule: ribosomal RNA, 245 nt
Filed under: uncultured bacterium
Lineage: Bacteria
Description: partial 16S ribosomal RNA
Rfam family: Bacterial small subunit ribosomal RNA
Source: RNAcentral